This 421-nucleotide long non-coding RNA is filed under the name Rattus norvegicus (Norway rat). RNAcentral describes it as "long non-coding RNA NONRATT014430". Lineage: Eukaryota; Metazoa; Chordata; Mammalia; Rodentia; Muridae. The record is from RNAcentral.
CUGCAGCGCUGGGUCCCACCGGGCCCCGCACUCUCGCUCCCCCGGCGUGCGCAGCGCUUGCAGGUGGCUUAGGGCGACGGAGGCGGGAGGGGGGUGGCCGAGUCGCAGCGCCGUGCGCGGGUGUCAUUGCGGGGAGCGCGCACAACGGGUAUGCAAGGACCUCCUCGGAGCUGGGCUCCGUGUCCCCACGAAAGAGUUUCCCCAUUGGAGUGUCCGAGCUGCGGUACAGACUGGCCCUUCAAAUUGGCACAAGCUGUAUCCCAUCGCCCAGGGAGACCGCCAGUCACCCAUCAAUAUCAUAUCCAGCCAGGCAGUGUACUCACCCAGCCUACAGCCACUGGAGCUUUUCUAUGAAGCCUGCAUGUCCCUCAGCAUCACCAACAAUGGCCACUCUGUUCAGGUGGACUUCAAUGACAGUGAU